GACACUUUGGCGGAGUGGUUAACGCGCUGCCCUGCUAAGGCAGUUCCUUCGGGAGCGCAGGUUCGAAUCCUGCAGGUGUCG
This 81-nucleotide transfer RNA is filed under the name Exophiala mesophila. RNAcentral's name for it is "tRNA-Ser (GCT) (tRNA-Ser-GCT-1-1)". It matches the Rfam family "tRNA". Rfam says of the family: Transfer RNA (tRNA) molecules are approximately 80 nucleotides in length. Their secondary structure includes four short double-helical elements and three loops (D, anti-codon, and T loops). Further hydrogen bonds mediate the characteristic L-shaped molecular structure. tRNAs have two regions of fundamental functional importance: the anti-codon, which is responsible for specific mRNA codon recognition, and the 3' end, to which the tRNAs corresponding amino acid is attached (by aminoacyl-tRNA synthetases). tRNAs cope with the degeneracy of the genetic code in two manners: having more than one tRNA (with a specific anti-codon) for a particular amino acid; and 'wobble' base-pairing, i.e. permitting non-standard base-pairing at the 3rd anti-codon position. The record is from RNAcentral. Lineage: Eukaryota; Fungi; Ascomycota; Eurotiomycetes; Chaetothyriales; Herpotrichiellaceae.